This is a regulatory RNA element of Pedobacter cryoconitis, 35 nucleotides long. It matches the Rfam family "DUF805b RNA". Rfam says of the family: Bacteroidetes, Chlorobi (1 example), Proteobacteria. Lineage (Flavobacteria) The record is from Rfam. NCBI's taxonomy places the organism in Bacteria, Pseudomonadati, Bacteroidota, Sphingobacteriia, Sphingobacteriales, Sphingobacteriaceae.
AAGGCAUAAACUGAAAAGCCAUAAAAGAGUAGGUA